Molecule: long non-coding RNA, 437 nt
Organism: Capra hircus (goat)
Lineage: Eukaryota; Metazoa; Chordata; Mammalia; Artiodactyla; Bovidae
Exons: 3
Source: RefSeq, a predicted model, not a curated record
GGCCCGGCCGAGGAGCGAAGAAAGAGCGAGCCGGGCCGGCAGAGGCGCCGCGCCCGGUCCCGCGCCCGCGCUCGGCGGCCCCGGCGGCUCCCUUCGGGGGUGACGAGGAUGUGCCUGGCUGCUGGCUUUCCCCCCCGCCCUCCUCCUUAAGACGAUUUCCAUAGUAACCUGAUCAAGUGGCUCAGGAUCGCAAACCUGAGGAUCUCCGCGGCCCGCCGGCUUGACCUCAGUCAGAUAAGGACAUUGAGCAGCAGGACAGCUGAUUGGGCAUCGGUUGAUCCAAGCUGAUGGAGGCUGGAAGUGAAGUUUCAAAAUUGGAAGUGUGAUUUGAUCGGACUCUUCUGGAAGCAAACUGAUGUCCGUGGAAUUGGUUGUUUCAGGAAACAAAGCCCAGGAGUUAGAGACUCUGCUGGAUUCUCUCUGAGUGGAUUAGAGGU